AUUGAACGCUGGCGGCAGGCCUAACACAUGCAAGUCGAACGGUAACAGGAAACAGCUUGCUGUUUCGCUGACGAGUGGCGGACGGGGGAGUAAUGUCUGGGAAACUGCCUGAUGGAGGGGGAUAUCUACUGGAAACGGUAGCUAAUAACGCAUAACGUCGCAAGACCAAAGAGGGGGAUCUUCGGGCCUCUUGCCCUCGGGUGGGCCCAGAUGGGAUUAGCUAGUAGGUGGGGGAACGGCUCACCUAGGCGACGAUCCGUAGCUGGUCUGAGAGGAUGAACAGCCACACUGGAACUGAGACACGGUCCAGACUCCUACGGGAGGCAGCAGUGGGGAAUAUUGCACAAUGGGCGCAAGCCUGAUGCAGCCAUGCCGCGUGUAUGAAGAAGGCCUUCGGGUUGUAAAGUACUUUCAGCGGGGAUGAAGGGAGUAAAGUUAAUACCUUUGCUCAUUGACGUUACCCGCAGAAGAAGCACCGGCUAACUCCGUG
RNAcentral lists this ribosomal RNA (490 nucleotides) under uncultured bacterium. Its description in RNAcentral is "partial 16S ribosomal RNA". It matches the Rfam family "Bacterial small subunit ribosomal RNA", at positions 30 to 507 of the family's 1533-position model. The record is from RNAcentral.